AGGGUUCGAGUUCUGGCUCAGGACGAACGCUGGCGGCGUGCUUAACACAUGCAAGUCGAACGGGAGUAUUGAAGAAGCUUGCUUAGAGAUACUUUAGUGGCGGACGGGUGAGUAACGCGUGAGGAGCUGUCCUAUGCAGGGGGACAACAGCUGGAAACGGCUGCUAAUACCCCAUAAGCCGAGAGGUAAAAGGAUCAAUCCGGCAGAGGAGGUACUCGCGUCCUAUCAGCUAGUAGGUGAGGUAACGGCUCACCUAGGCGAAGACGGGUAGCCGGCCUGAGAGGGCGAACGGCCACACUGGAACUGAGAUACGGUCCAGACUCCUACGGGAGGCAGCAGUGGGGAAUAUUGGGCAAUGGGGGAAACCCUGACCCAGCGACGCCGCGUGGGUGAAGAAAUCCUUCGGGAUGUAAAGCCCUGUUGUAUGGGAAGAGCGGAAGACGGUACCAUACGAGGAAGCCCCGGCAAACUACGUGCCAGCAGCAGC
This 487-nucleotide ribosomal RNA is filed under the name uncultured bacterium. Its description in RNAcentral is "bacterial SSU rRNA". It matches the Rfam family "Bacterial small subunit ribosomal RNA", at positions 1 to 518 of the family's 1533-position model. The record is from RNAcentral.